UUCUUUUGUUUUGAAUAUAGCUUGAAAUAAAUGAGCCAUUGUCUGGGCUCAGAAUAUUCUGGUUGGAAAGAGAUCUCCACUGUGAUGCAAUUUAUUGUAGCAGGAUUUUUUCCAGCUCAGCUUUGAUUCCCUCUUGCCCGCUCAGUCCUUUCUCACAGCUCAGGAGAUCAGUGGGGAGAGUUGAGCCCAAAGUGGAAAAAAGAAAUAAAAACCGAGGAUCGUGUUUGCUCAAGCGUGAGGUCCAGAGACCUGAAUGGAGUCUGGUCCCAGAGUGCAACGACUGCCAAGAAGAGAGAAAGAUUUGCCCCAUGGAUCUGGGGACAGUCCGCCAUCUGAAGAGGAAUGCUCUUCCUACAGAAGACUUCUGAGCAGCAUCAGGAAGGACAGACAGCCCUAAGUCAAGAUAUGGAGGUGUGGCAAGGCCCAGGGCUGCCUGGCAUCAGACCUCGGAAGAGACUCCCACAGUGCCCUUCUCAAGUGCCUCCCUUCCUCUGAUCACUUGGAAAACUGCUGCACGCUGGCCUCUGUUCUCACCAUACUACCGGUAACCACCUCCAGCAUCCUCUAAGACUCCUACCUAAGACUCCUAUUCAAGGCCAAGUGCUACCUAGUGGUAGAAGCCCAGCACCAUUCUACACAAGGCCACUUGUUUUCAGCAUAGCUCUUCUUACUUUCCAUACCAGUGCCUCCUUGGUGGUCGUGCAAAAACUCACAAUGUUUUAAAAAUAAAUAAAAAUGGG
Molecule: long non-coding RNA, 740 nt
Organism: Fukomys damarensis (Damara mole-rat)
Lineage: Eukaryota; Metazoa; Chordata; Mammalia; Rodentia; Bathyergidae
Exons: 3
Source: RefSeq, a predicted model, not a curated record